This 253-nucleotide ribosomal RNA is filed under the name uncultured bacterium. RNAcentral's name for it is "partial 16S ribosomal RNA". It matches the Rfam family "Bacterial small subunit ribosomal RNA", at positions 524 to 776 of the family's 1533-position model. The record is from RNAcentral.
UACGUAGGGUGCAAACGUUGUUCGGAAUCACUGGGCAUAAAGAGCGCGUAGGCGGUCUGACAAGUCCCCUGUGAAAGCCCCCGGCUUAACCGGGGAACUGCAUGGGAUACUGUUGGGCUAGAGUGCAGGAGGGGAGAGCGGAAUUCCUGGUGGAGCGGUGAAAUGCGCAGAUAUCAGGAAGAACACCAAUGGCGAAGGCAGCUCUCUGGGACGGUACUGACGCUGAGACGCGAAAGCGUGGGGAGCGAACAGG